Non-coding RNA from Odocoileus virginianus texanus, 288 nucleotides. The record is from RefSeq and is a predicted model, not a curated record. Lineage: Eukaryota; Metazoa; Chordata; Mammalia; Artiodactyla; Cervidae.
CUCAUAAUGGGACUCUGCGCUGUUGGCCUCACAUUGUUUUAAGGCUAAUCACUGCUUUUUCACAGAUGGAGUUUUUCCCCCACCCACUCUAUUUUCAUGAUCUUUUAAAACAGUUUGGAUUUGCUCUAAAGCAGUUCCACAUUUGCCUGUGUUUAUUCGGUCAUAAAAAAGCCACAAUGAGAAACGGGACCACUGACAAUUAAGCUCGAGAUGUGAUUGAGAAGGGGGACCAGGACACAUUCCUUAGAGUUUACUGAAGAGACAUGGAGAAGAAAGUGAGGAAAUGGU